CUGGCUCAGAACGAACGCUGGUGGCGUGUCUAUACAUGCAAGUCGAGCGAGGCAGCAAUGCCGAGCGGCGAACGGGUGAGUAACGCGUAAGCAAUCUGCCCCAUAUCAGGAAAUACCCGUGCCAACGCGCGGUUAAUGUCCAGGAGAGUGGCCUUCUGCAUGGAGGGUUGACUAGAGAUUUAUCGGUAUGGGAUGAGCUUGCGUCCGAUUAGCUAGUUGGCGGGCAACGGCCCACCAAGGCGACGAUCGGUAGCCGGCCUGAGAGGGUGAUCGGCCACAUUGGGACUGAGAUACGGCCCAGACUCCUACGGGAGGCAGCAGUAGGGAAUAUUGCACAAUGGGGGAAACCCUGAUGCAGCAACGCCACGUGUGGGAAGAAGCAUUUCGGUGUGUAAACCACUGUCAUGAGGGAAUAAGGCCCUUAUUCGUAAGGGACUUGAAUGUACCUUGAGAGGAAGCACCGGCAAACUUCGUGCCAGCCGCAGC
This 486-nucleotide ribosomal RNA is filed under the name uncultured bacterium. RNAcentral's name for it is "bacterial SSU rRNA". It matches the Rfam family "Bacterial small subunit ribosomal RNA", at positions 19 to 518 of the family's 1533-position model. The record is from RNAcentral.